ACCGAAACUGGCGGCGUGCCUNAUACAUGCAAGUCGAACGAGAUAGCUCCCUUCGGGGAGUGUGUAGAGUGGCGAACGGGUGAGUAACACGUGAAUAACCUGCCUUCAUGUUGGGGAUAACCAUCUUAACGGGUGGCUAAUACCGGAUGUGGCCCCACAUUCGCAUGUUUGUGGGAUUAAAGAUGCCGUGCUUCGGUGCGGUGUCGCAUGAAGAGGGAUUCGCGUUCCAUUAGCUUGUUGGCGGGGUAACGGCUCACCAAGGCUGUGAUGGAUAGCUGGUCUGAGAGGAUGAUCAGCCACACUGGAACUGAGACACGGUCCAGACUCCUACGGGAGGCAGCAGUGGGGAAUUUUGCGCAAUGGGGGAAACCCUGACGCAGCAACGCCGCGUGAAGGAUGAAGGCCUUUGGGUCGUAAACUUCUGUCAGAGGGGAAGAAAUGCCCGCAAGGGUGCUGACGGUACCCUCAAAGGAAGCACCGGCUAACUCCGUGCCAGCAGCCGCGGUAAUAC
Molecule: ribosomal RNA, 511 nt
Filed under: uncultured bacterium
Lineage: Bacteria
Description: bacterial SSU rRNA
Rfam family: Bacterial small subunit ribosomal RNA
Source: RNAcentral